Long non-coding RNA from Cygnus olor (mute swan), 1020 nucleotides. RefSeq lists it as uncharacterized. The transcript has 3 exons. NCBI's taxonomy places the organism in Eukaryota, Metazoa, Chordata, Aves, Anseriformes, Anatidae. The record is from RefSeq and is a predicted model, not a curated record.
AACAUGCAAGAACACAAAGUUGACUGUAAGCUGUUUCCUGCAGUACUGUGGUUUGGUUCACAUCCUGAAACAUGGAAAGACCACAUCCCUGAGACUUUCAAACGGUGUGAGAGCCACACAGAAGAAGACAGACGUGUACACACCCACAGAGCAAGAUACCAACUCCCAGAGUGUCCAGAAGAGCUUACAUACUAAUCUUGGCACUUCUAAAUUAAAUGAGGAGAUUUGGAUCUGGCAUUGGACAUGAGAGCUGGUUCUAAGGGGCUGCUCCGGACCUUCAGGAGUCUGCCUGUCCUUGUGGGGAAGUCACUUCUCAGGUCUGUGGCUGGGAUUCACCUUGCAGCUGUAGAAGAGCAAGUGGGCAGAAGGAACACUCACUUAUCACCAUGUAUCUUCUUUCACGAUCUGCUGGGAAAACUGAUGAGAGAGAGGCAUGAGUAGAACCUUGCUCUACGUGGAUUGUGUGGUGGGACUUGCUUGGAGUGACCCACUGGAGGGGACAGCAUUCAUCAGAAAAAUUAGUUGUUUUGUUUGACAUUUUUCUGGUUCUGUCAGGCCAGGAGGUGGGAAGUAAGCAUGGAGGCGCUUCCUUUGGCCACUUCUGUCCCUUUUUUCCCUUGAAAGAAGAAGAGGGAAACUUUGUCCAGGCUGCACAUUCUCUGAAGUGUGACUGAACAUGACUGAAUUGCUUUCCAGGCUCUUUUACCCUCGUGAGACUGGAAAGGUCGGGGCUCUGAAGGGAAAGAGCUACUGAAGUUGAUGGGCUCAGUGAGGGCAACUUACAGACCAUCCAGGCCGUGGACAGAAUUUAAAGGAUAUAGAGAAGGGUCCUUGAGGAGUUGUAAGCACCAGGCCUGUCACAACCUGUUUAAACAGGACAUUGCAGUGGUAUGUUUUAAAGUUAAAUCUCUGCAUUUGCACUUGCAGUAUCAAGAAUCAGGCAUGCUCAGCAGUUUAAUAUGUUAAAGGCAACAACAGGCUUGAGUUUUCUGAUUUUAUGUCUGAAAUAAAAGCACGGUG